This 373-nucleotide ribosomal RNA is filed under the name uncultured bacterium. RNAcentral describes it as "bacterial SSU rRNA". It matches the Rfam family "Bacterial small subunit ribosomal RNA", at positions 524 to 898 of the family's 1533-position model. The record is from RNAcentral.
UACGUAGGGGGCAAGCGUUAUCCGGAAUUACUGGGUGUAAAGGGUGCGUAGGCGGUAAUGAAAGUCAGGUGUGAAAGCCCGAAGCUCAACUUCGGGAUUGCACUUGAAACUUCAUAACUAGAGUACAGGAGAGGUGAGUGGAAUUCCUAGUGUAGCGGUGAAAUGCGUAGAUAUUAGGAGGAACACCAGUGGCGAAGGCGACUCACUGGACUGUAACUGACGCUGAGGCACGAAAGCGUGGGUAGCGAACAGGAUUAGAUACCCUGGUAGUCCACGCCGUAAACGAUGAAUGCUAGGUGUCGGCUCAUUAAGGGUCGGUGCCGAAGUAAACACAUUAAGCAUUCCACCUGGGGAGUACGUACGCAAGUAUAAA